CCUACGGGAGGCAGCAGUGGGGGAUAUUGCACAAUGGGGGAAACCCUGAUGCAGCGACGCCGCGUGUGGGAAGAAGGUCCUCUGGAUUGUAAACCACUGUCCCCAGGGACGAAGAUGACGGUACCUGGGGAGGAAGCUCCGGCUAACUAGGGGCCAGCAGCCGCGGUAAUACGUAGGGAGAGAACGUUGUCCGGAAUUAAUGGGGGAAAGGGGGGCGUAGGCGGGGAUGCAAGUUGGGUGUCAAAACUACCGGCUCAACUGGUAGUCGCACUCAAAACUGCAGCUCUUGAGUGAAGUAGAGGCAGGCGGAAUUCCUAGUGUAGCGGUGAAAUGCGUAGAUAUUAGGAGGAACACCAGUGGCGAAGGCGGCCUGCUGGGCUUUUACUGACGCUGAGGCUCGAAAGUGUGGGGAGCAAACAGGAUUAGAUACCCCGGUAGUC
RNAcentral lists this ribosomal RNA (440 nucleotides) under uncultured bacterium. Its description in RNAcentral is "partial 16S ribosomal RNA". It matches the Rfam family "Bacterial small subunit ribosomal RNA", at positions 338 to 795 of the family's 1533-position model. The record is from RNAcentral.